This 433-nucleotide ribosomal RNA is filed under the name uncultured bacterium. RNAcentral's name for it is "partial 16S ribosomal RNA". It matches the Rfam family "Bacterial small subunit ribosomal RNA", at positions 29 to 507 of the family's 1533-position model. The record is from RNAcentral.
AGCGAACGCUGGCGGCAGGCCUAACACAUGCAAGUCGAACGAACUCUUCGGAGUUAGUGGCGGACGGGUGAGUAACACGUGGGAACGUGCCUUUUGGUUCGGAAUAACUCAGGGAAACUUGUGCUAAUACAGCAUGUGCCCUUCGGGGGAAAGAUUUAUCGCCCUUAGAGCGGCCCGCGUCUGAUUAGCUAGUUGGUGAGGUAACGGCUCACCAAGGCGACGAUCAGUAGCUGGUCUGAGAGGAUGACCAGCCACACUGGGACUGAGACACGGCCCAGACUCCUACGGGAGGCAGCAGUGGGGAAUCUUGCGCAAUGGGCGAAAGCCUGACGCAGCCAUGCCGCGUGAAUGAUGAAGGUCUUAGGAUUGUAAAAUUCUUUCACCGGGGACGAUAAUGACGGUACCCGGAGAAGAAGCCCCGGCUAACUUCGUG